This 373-nucleotide ribosomal RNA is filed under the name uncultured organism. RNAcentral's name for it is "bacterial SSU rRNA". It matches the Rfam family "Bacterial small subunit ribosomal RNA", at positions 526 to 896 of the family's 1533-position model. The record is from RNAcentral.
CAGAGGGUGCGAGGCGUUGUUCGGAAUACUGGGCGUAAAGCGCGCGCAGGCGGCUUCUUAAGUCUGGCGGUCAAAUGCCGGGGCUCAACCCCGAGCGUGCCGCGGAUACUGGGAGGCUGGAGACGAGUAGAGGCAAGCGGAAUUCCGGGUGUAGCGGUGGAAUGCGUAGAGAUCCGGAAGAACACCGGAGGCGAAGGCGGCUUGCUGGGCUCGGUCUGACGCUGAGGCGCGAAAGCGUGGGGAGCGAACAGGAUUAGAUACCCUGGUAGUCCACGCCGUAAACGAUGGGCACUAGACGCGGGGGGGAUCGACCCUCUCCGUGUCGCAGCUAACGCGAUAAGUGCCCCGCCUGGGGAGUACGGCCGCAAGGCUG